ACGGGAGGCAGCAGUGAGGAAUAUUGGUCAAUGGGCGCAGGCCUGAACCAGCCAAGUAGCGUGAAGGAUGACUGCCCUAUGGGUUGUAAACUUCUUUUAUAUGGGAAUAAAGUUUUCCACGUGUGGAAUUUUGUAUGUACCAUAUGAAUAAGGAUCGGCUAACUCCGUGCCAGCAGCCGCGGUAAUACGGAGGAUCCGAGCGUUAUCCGGAUUUAUUGGGUUUAAAGGGAGCGUAGGUGGACAGUUAAGUCAGUUGUGAAAGUUUGCGGCUCAACCGUAAAAUUGCAGUUGAUACUGGCUGUCUUGAGUACAGUAGAGGUGGGCGGAAUUCGUGGUGUAGCGGUGAAAUGCUUAGAUAUCACGAAGAACUCCGAUUGCGAAGGCAGCUCACUGGACUGCAACUGACACUGAUGCUCGAAAGUGUGGGUAUCAAACAGGAUUAGAUACCCUGGUA
RNAcentral lists this ribosomal RNA (454 nucleotides) under uncultured Bacteroides sp. RNAcentral describes it as "bacterial SSU rRNA". It matches the Rfam family "Bacterial small subunit ribosomal RNA", at positions 341 to 792 of the family's 1533-position model. Lineage: Bacteria; Pseudomonadati; Bacteroidota; Bacteroidia; Bacteroidales; Bacteroidaceae. The record is from RNAcentral. RNAcentral also lists the same sequence under 1 other name.